UGACCUCGGAUCAGGUAGGGAUACCCGCUGAACUUAAGCAUAUCAAUAAGCGGAGGAAAAGAAACCAACAGGGAUUGCCCUAGUAACGGCGAGUGAAGCGGCAACAGCUCAAAUUUGAAAGCUGGCCUUCGGGUCCGCAUUGUAAUUUGUAGAGGAUGCUUUGGGGAGGCCGCCUGUUUAAGUUCCUUGGAACAGGACGUCAUAGAGGGUGAGAAUCCCGUAUGUGACAGGAAAUGGCACCCUAUGUAAAGCUCCUUCGACGAGUGGAGUUGUUUGGGAAUGCAGCUCUAAAUGGGAGGUAAAUUUCUUCUAAAGCUAAAUAUUGGCGAGAGACCGAUAGCGCACAAGUAGAGUGAUCGAAAGAUGAAAAGCACUUUGGAAAGAGAGUUAAAAAGCACGUGAAAUUGUUGAAAGGGAAGCGCUUGCAAUCAGACUGUUUAAACUGUUCGGCCGGUCUUAUGACCGGUUUACUCAGUUUGGACAGGCCAGCAUCAGUUUCGGCGGCCCGGAG
This 511-nucleotide ribosomal RNA is filed under the name Aureobasidium bupleuri. RNAcentral's name for it is "eukaryotic LSU rRNA". It matches the Rfam family "Eukaryotic large subunit ribosomal RNA", at positions 1 to 524 of the family's 3401-position model. Lineage: Eukaryota; Fungi; Ascomycota; Dothideomycetes; Dothideales; Saccotheciaceae. The record is from RNAcentral.